UACAGAGGUCUCAAGCGUUGUUCGGAUUCAUUGGGCGUAAAGGGUGCGUAGGCGGCGCGGUAAGUCGGGUGUGAAAUCUCGGAGCUUGACUCCGAAACUGCAUUCGAUACUGCCGUGCUUGAGGACUGGAGAGGAGACUGGAAUUUACGGUGUAGCGGUGAAAUGCGUAGAUAUCGUAAGGAAGACCAGUGGCGAAGGCGAGUCCCUGGACAAGACCUGACACUGAGGCACGAAAGCCAGGGGAGCAAACAGG
RNAcentral lists this ribosomal RNA (253 nucleotides) under uncultured bacterium. Its description in RNAcentral is "partial 16S ribosomal RNA". It matches the Rfam family "Bacterial small subunit ribosomal RNA", at positions 524 to 776 of the family's 1533-position model. The record is from RNAcentral.